RNAcentral lists this long non-coding RNA (564 nucleotides) under Homo sapiens (human). RNAcentral's name for it is "HSALNT0303924". The record is from RNAcentral. Lineage: Eukaryota; Metazoa; Chordata; Mammalia; Primates; Hominidae.
ACGUCAGCUGGAUCUUGAAUGAGAUGAAGACGGGGAGAAAGGGCCUUCCGGACAAAGGGCUUACGCCCUGGAUAAAGGGCGUGGAGGGGCGUGGCACGUUCAGUCUGGACACAGCAUAAAGUGCAUUGGAGAGAGGCGGGAGACAGGAUGGAAAGGAGGGUGGGAAGAGCUAUGAAGCUCCCCAGGGCCUUGCUAACGCGUUUGGACUUUAUCCCGCGCCAGACUUUUUAAAGGUGGGUUGGAGGGAGACUGACGAACUCAACUACCAGCCUGCAGUCGGCAGCCAUCAGCGGAUUGCAGGUACCCCGCGUGCGUGUCUCGGCUACAGUGCGGAAGACAAGAGGCCUUAGGAAGUGGGAACGGGCGCCAUCUGGUGGUCAUCUCUGGAGUGACAGCAGAGAACUGGAACAUAUUUUAUAUUUUGUUUCCACUGCUCCAUGACUUGACUAAAGCAGAAACAAUUCGGAGAGUACUGUAGUAUUAAAUACCUAAGGGCCACACCAGGCCAGAAAGCAACAAAAAAGAAAUGCUAAAAAGAAGUUCUUCAGAGAGGGAUCCAAGAAG